This 267-nucleotide ribosomal RNA is filed under the name uncultured bacterium. RNAcentral's name for it is "partial 16S ribosomal RNA". The record is from RNAcentral.
CUGCUGCCUCCCGUAGGAGUUUGGGCCGUGUCUCAGUCCCAAUGUGGCCGUCCACCCUCUCAGGCCGGCUACUGAUCGUCGCCUUGGUGGGCCGUUACCCCGCCAACAAGCUAAUCAGACGCGGGUCCAUCUUACACCACCGGAGUUUUUCACACAAAUCCAUGCGGCUUCGUGCGCUUAUGCGGUAUUAGCGCCUAUUUCUAAGUGUUAUCCCCCAGUGUAAGGCAGGUUACCCACGCGUUACUCACCCGUCCGCCACUAAGAUUA